CAGGAUGUGGCUCAGUUUAUGGCUGCUGGCUCCUUAGGCCACUGGACCAACCCAGUGUCUCCAGAUGGGGUGCCCCAAAGCACCGUUUCCCAAUUCCGUCUGGGUUUACAUGAGCUCGGGCUUUGGCUGUGAAUGGAUGGUAAAAGGCUGGAGGGAAGACCUGUCAGCUGAGAGGGAAAACAGCAAGAGCUGCGUGGCGGUGGCCGAAGAGUAGGAAUCUCCCGAAAUCAUCCAUACAGGCAGGAUCAUGGGAAAGGGGAGCCUGUGUACAAUAUUUGCCUUCACCUGUCUGUACUUCUACCAACAGAGCAUCUAGGUGCGGAAUCACGUUGCCCUCCAGUGGCUGCAGCUCAUGGCGACAGCAGGAGGAAUUCUGGGGUCCCUGGCUGUCCCCUAAAGUCCGAUGUUUGUUUGAAGGUUCUGGAAAUGGGCCUCAGUGCUGCUCAUCAACCUCCCCAUCCCACUUCAUCAGGCUACCUACUACCCUAAUAUGUUACCUAUGGGAAGGGAAUCUUGCUCAAAACUUGGGACAUCUUCAUUCCUUGACUAUCAAAUUCUCCCCUUCGUGCAUUUUUAAUGGAAAUUUUAAAUGA
This 593-nucleotide long non-coding RNA is filed under the name Phascolarctos cinereus (koala). Its description in RNAcentral is "lncRNA (ENSPCIG00000029866.2)". Lineage: Eukaryota; Metazoa; Chordata; Mammalia; Diprotodontia; Phascolarctidae. The record is from RNAcentral.